ACAAACCCACGGUCGCCCUAUCAGCCACCAUGAACAGCCGCCUCCAGCAUUUCCUUCCCUCAGCAACAGCACCAACACCGACACCCACCGAUCUAUCCAUUCCUCCGCCUCAACACCGCCAGCAAGCUCAUCUCCACCACGGCUUCAGCGGCCAUGAACAACAGCCACCAGAUCAGAGGAAGGAGAAGACCGAGAACCAGCCGACCACCGCUGCCACCAACAGGAGUGAAGACCGUCAACGCAGCGACCACCACCGACAGCUCCCCCCCACAACCACCAGCCUUCUAAAACAGAAGAAGAGGAAACAAAAACAAUAUGCAGAGAGGAGCAGAUCUGAAAAUGAGAAGGGAGAGAAGCAGAUCUAGACUAAAAUGGAUUGAAAUCGACUGUUUGCUGGGUUUUUGUUCUUUUGCAGGUGACGUUGGGUGUCACCACCGGCAGAGAAGGGAAAAGGAAAGGAAGCUGAGCUAGACCCACCCGCUUUCCGGCCUUUCUCGCGGUGGCGCAUGAACCCACGCCCCGCCAGUGGCGAUGGCGCGUGGGAAGACGCGCCGCCACUGUUCUUGCAGUUCCAAAAGGACUUCCCUGCAAUUGCUGGAGUUUUUAGGGGCUGUUUUGUAAUUUUUAAAUUGUUUAAUGUAAUUAUUUUUGUUUUGUUUUGAAUUUUUAUAAUUUGUAAUGUGGAUGUAAAAAAGAAAAGAAAAAAGAAAAAAGGGAAAAGAGAAAAAAAAAUAUAGUGAAAGUGAAUAUGUUGUUUGUAUUUUUUAUGAAUAUAUUUUUUUAUGAUAAAAUUGCAAAGAUUAAAGAAGAAUUUAAUAUUUUGAUUUGCUCACGGUCUAGAAUUAUUAACUUAUACGUAACUUGUAUUUCUAAUAUCCGAUGAAAAGAUAAAAUUUUAAAACUUCUUUAACACGUCAAAGCCACGAAGCAGCUUACCUCAGGUAAGGUGCGUUAGGGUUGCUAAUACCUUCCCUAACCACAACCAGUCCCUUACCCGCGAAUCUCUGACAAGGCCAGUACAUCCGGUUUCCUAGUAGCCUUCAUAAUUACUAGGUGGCGACUCCCAACCAACGAACCAAAGCAAACGAAUUAACAAAAAAUCGCCAAGCUGAUGCCACGCGGGUGACGUGCGACAGAAUGGCAACUCCACUAGGGAAGGUACUGUUUCUGACAAUAUUGGACUAAGCUUUGUGUAUUUGAUAUGUUUAAAUUUUUGCACUUUUAUCUUGUUUUAUUUUUGUUUUAUCCAUGCAUUUUGUAGAAUUGUCUCAUGCAUCACAUGCCUUUAUUUUUUAAAGCACACAUAAGCUUCUAGGUUAGGUGGGGAACUAGCGAUCUGCCCUAAGACUAUUGGUCAAGGUUCAGAUGCGUGAAAACCCAACUCAUAUCUGAGUGCCUGCUUGAUAAUGGUGGGUAUACGUACUUAACCAUUUCCUGCAACGCCCCUAUACUAUCUUUACGAAGAUCGUCACUGGACAGAUAUGAGACCCUUUUGAGACUAAGUAGAAAACCUAUCCAUGUUCACAUAAUGAAUAGAACCUAUCCUUAGGUUGUAUGUGCUAUUGUUAUUUGCAUCAGGGCAAACCCUUCUUGAAGCAUCUUGAACUCAAGACUUGUGGGUGACACAAUGGUCGUCACUCAGAAAAUUUGCAUUGUAGAGUUUGGGCAAGAAUCACGAUCCUUGUUUCAUCAUACAAGAGUUACGACCAUAUGUCACCCCUCGAAGGGCGAGUUCAUCAUAUAGAUUACAUGUUCAUACAUUUGUCAUGCAUGCACCAGGAUGAAAAGUAGGUCCCUUACGAGUUUACAACACCCGACUUUGAGCGAAAAACCCAGAAGAUGAAGAUUGUGCUCGUCGUAACGUCCAUUUUCAAGAAAAGUUGGAGUCUCUGAAGAAAAGCUUAACUCGUGUCUGGCUUACUCAAGUAAAUACAUAGAAAUAACUCUAGGGAAGUUCCUUCCGACUGAUCUAUCAUCUUUGUUCAAACCCCAACAUUGACUCAGCCUGAAGAAAUUGAGGGCAAACACGGUCAAGAGCCCCAACACAAUAAAACAUUUCCAUAAAAGCUUUUAUGGGAAAGCUGACCGAAGGGGAAUUGCACCACAGUUGCAGAAUGGAGCCUGUUCUUGCUCUGUAAAAAAAAAAACUACCUCUGUUAGAUCAUGCCUGCAAAACUUCUUGAUUUUUUGUUUUAACCUGUUCCAGUUUUUGUUGGUAAUUUGGCUCAAAAUUCCAUAAGACUUUCCCUGUCCAAUGAGCCUUUCUUGUUAAUAAGAUCAUGUGUUUUCCUGUAUUCAUGACAUGCCUUCAUUUUUGUUGUGGUUUCAUACAAAUAACACAUUGAGCAUAACCUUUAAACAUGAAACCAUUGCGCCGAAAAUCUUUUGGUGUGUUUCCCAUUUCUUCCUAAAUUAUGCAUGAUCUCGCAUAUUCACAAGGAUUUUUGGGAAUUCAAAGUUUAGUACAAAAACAGAAAUCAUGUUGGUGUUUGUCCAAAACAAACGAGUUCUGGAAAUUCAGGUGAUUCCUUAGAAAGGUAACCAUACACCUAGAAAACCUAAAAAAAAAAAAACACCAUGAAGUGACUCCAAAGUUGAGUUGUAUUUGAAUGAAUAAUGAGAAAUCACGUUGCAUACUCGCAUGAAAAUAAAGCUUACCAAUCCUAAGUGCAUGAGUUUGAAAUGAAGAAAGGCUUUCUUUGAUAAUCCUUUCACGAGGCUAAAUUAUAUCAUUUGUAGUCCCCUUUUGAGCUUAUUGCUUUUCUUGAGAUAAAUAACAUUGGCUAGGAUCACACCCCACACUGGGGGCAAGUGUGAUGACAUAGAAAAAGCCUUAAUGAUUGAAAGUGUCCAAGCAACACUAGGGGGCAUAAAAGAAAAUUCUCAAAUCAUCAAAGGUACCCAAACAAAGAUGGGGCUAUGAAGAAAAAUCCAAAGGAUCUAAAAACUUUUGAGCAAAAAAAAUAAAAUAUGAUGAUGCUCAAAACCAUAUGAAGAAAACAAAAACAAAGAGAAAGAGCCCAAGCCCAACAAUGGAGGGCACGAUAGCCCAUUUUGAAAAGACAAUUCAAAAGACAAAAGGUCAAGAAACAAGCACAAGUGAUCCUUAGUCUUGAAAUCCCUUAAACACUUUUGAGCUUGUAAAUAUCAUUUUCUCUUCAUAACCAAUAGCCCAAGCCUAUAUUACGUGCAUAAUCAAGCCCUUUCUGAUCAAAGACAAGCAAUCUAGAUCGGUAGGCAGUGCUUUCUCAUGCGAACCAAAUCAUUAUUCAUGCAAAUAAAAUAAAUGCUUUGAAAAUUGGUUCUCUGUAACCCUCAAAUUGAAAUUUAAACCUUUUGUGACCAACCAGAUGUCACUUCGUGUUCUUCACAUUUUCGUCUAAAGCAAAAAAAAAAAGUUUUCAUCACAUCUGAAAACCUCUCCAUAAGAAUCACUUGAAUUUCUUCAAAAUGAGUUUGCUUUGAAUCAAUGUCAAAAUGAUUUCUGUGUCUAGAAUAGCUGUGAAAUUUCAAAAUUUCUGCAUGAAAACAACUCCUGGCCAAACCUUCCUUCACAUAGCCUCAUCCCUAAACACGAAUUGAAUACUUGGGGGCAUGAUCAAGCUGGAGUGCAAUCAAAAACUCCUGGUAAGGCUGGCUCCAUGAUUCCCUUUCUAAGAAAACCGUCAGGCAAAAUUGGCAACCCUUGAGAUGAAGGGUGGAGGACAAAGAAGUAGAAUGAUAUCAAGCCCUUCCCAGAGGUCAAGAUCAAAAGAUAGGACUCGAGUAAGAAAGAGCAAAAAAGCCAUCGAAGUUUACUACCAAUACUCCAACUUUUGAGAAAAGAAAGACACCAUGAAGAAAUAGGGGACCUAUAUUUCUCAGGUACGUGUACAUGCAUAUUGAUCAUAAUGCAUUAUUUUCAACAUUGUUAGAUCUGUGUUUCAUCAUCACCUUUUGGGUAGUGCGUUUUCUAACCCUACCUCAUUUCGAGUGCGCCUUUGAGCCCUCACUUCUUUUUGUGUGUGCCUUUGAGCCACCAUUUCUCAGGUAGUGCGUUUUCUAACUCUACCUCAUUUCAAGUGCGCCUUUGAGCCCUCACUUCUCAGGUAGUGCAUUUUCUAACCCUACCUCCUUUCGAGUGCGCCUUUGAGCCCUCACUUCUCCGGUAGUGUGUUUUAUAACCCUACCUCAUUCCGAGUGUGCCUUUGAGCCACUACCAUUUGGGUAGUGCGUUUUCUAACCCUACCUCAUUUCGAGUGCGCCUUUGAGCCCUCAUUUCCUUUUGAGUGCGCCUUUGAGCCUUCACAUCUUGGGUAGUGUGUUUUCUAACCCUACCUCAUUUCGAGUGCGCCUUUGAGCCCUCUCUUCUCGGGUAGUGCGUUUUCUAACCCUACCUCAUUUCGAGUGCGCCUUUGAGCCCUCGCCAACAUUUUUCUGGGUAGGUCACCCAUUACAACGUGACCAAUUCUCCAUGUUUUUUUAUCUAGGUAGGUCACCCAUUAUAAUGAGACCAUUCUUCUACCUGGUAGGUCACCCAUUACAAUGAGACCACUCUUUCCUUUUUCUUGGGUAGGUCACCCAUUACAAUGAGACCGACAUUUUUCUGGGUAGGUCACCCAUUACAACGCGAUCAAUUCUCCAUGUUUUUUUUACCUGGGUAGGUCACCCAUUACAAUGAGGCCAUUCUUCCACUUGGGUAGGUCACCCAUUACAAUGAGAUCACUCUUUCCUUUUCCGUCUGGGCAGGUGACCCAUCACAAUGAGACCACACUUCACAUUUUUUCCAUCUGGGCAGGUCACCCAUUACAAUGAGAUCAUACUUCACAUUCUUUUCAUCUGGGUAGGUCACCCAUUACAAUGAGACCGCACUUCAUAUUUUUUCCAUCUGGGUAGGUCACCUAUCAUAAUGAGACCGUUUUUCACAUUCUUUCCACCUGGGUAGGUCACCCAUUACAAUGAGACCACUUUUUACACAUUCUUUUGUUUUGGUUAAAUGAGGUCGCCAGAUGGGAUCUCAGGUAGCUUUGGUUAAAGGGAAUCGCCAGAUGGAAUUUCAGGUUGACCGAGCUGCACAUAUUUUUUUGGUUUUGGUUUAACGAGGUCGCCAGAUGGGAUCUCAUGUAGCUUUGGUUAAAUGGAAUCGCCAGAUGGGAUUUCAGGUUGACCGAGCUACACAUAUUUCUUAGUUCCAGUUUAAUGAGGUCGCCAGAUGGGAUCUCAUGUAGCUUUGGUUAAAGGAAAUCGCCAGAUGGGAUUUCAGGUUGACCGAGUUACACAUAUUUUUUUAGUUCCGGUUGAAUGAGGUAGCCAAAUGGGAUCUCAAGUGGCUUUAGUUAAAGGGAAUCGCCAAAUGGGAUUUCAGGUUGACCGAGCUCCACAUUUUUUUAGUUCCAGUUGAAUGAGGUCGCCAGAUGGGAUCUCAUAUGGCUUUGGUUAAAGGGAAUCGCCAGAUGGGAUUUCAGGUUGACCGAGUUACACAUAUUUCUUUGGUUUUGGUUAAAAGGGAUCGCCAGAUGGGAUCUCAGGUGGCUUUGGUUAAAGGGAAUCGCCAGAUGGGAUUUCAGGUUGACCGAGCUGCACAUAUUUUUUUGUUCUAGUUGAAUGAGGUCGCCAGAUGGGAUCUCAUGUAGCUUUGGUUAAAGGAAAUCGCCAGAUGGGAUUUCAGGUUGACCGAGUUACACACAUUCUUUGGUUUUGGUUACAGGAGGUCGCCAGAUGGGAUCUCAAGUUUUUUUAAAAAAAGAGAGAGAGAAAGAAACAGAAAAAAAAGAGUAAGGUCUUUAUAUGAGUGGAUUCAAUAAGUUAGGAAGACAAGUUUUUCUUUACAAAGCUUACUAUGCAAAACAUUGAGGAGUUUUGCUUCGUAAGCAUUGUAAAGAGGGGGCAUUUGUUGCUACCUAAUUUUUGACCCAUGUUUUGAUAAAUUUUCAGAAAAAAUCCAAAAAUAGAGAAAACAACGAAAAUACAAAAAAAUAUGUUUUUUAAUAUAUUUUCAUCAUUUUAGCAUUUUCAACGUCGUCUAAAAAAGAAUUUCAAUUUUUAAGGGUCUUUCGAACGCGUUCGACUUUUCACGCGUUAUUUUUAAAAUCAUUGAUUUUCCUCAUCGAGUCGACGUUGAUAUUGCUCGUUUUCAAAAAAAUACAAAAAAAUCAAGAAAAAUCAAAUUUACAAAAAAAGAAGGAAGUUGAGGGACCAAGUUUGAAAACCUAGCAACAUUUUUACCUAUAAAUACUGGUCUCCUCAACACACUCAAGGGGGGGCAAUUUUGAAAAGAAAAAAAAAAAGGAAAACCUAACCCUAAACCUAUCUACCCAAAGAGCCGCCCCCCACCCGGCUGGAUUUGUUUGCUCUCUGAAACCAGCCGUUCAAGCCCUUUCCCCUUAGCCUUUUCUCGACUAACAAUAGUCCCUCCUUUCCCUCCUCCACAUCAUCUCCAACUCCUUCUUGCCUCAGCCACACACACGACAGAAACCAGAGCUCCCCUUCUCCUCUCCCAGCCGCCACCUGCACUUUCCCCUCUCUCAGCCGAUCCCUCAUUUCCUUUUUCCUACAAACCAGAACGCCGCCCCCCUCAGUUGUUCUCUCACCCUAGACAACCCCAACAACAAUCGCCACCCUCACAAACCCGGCGACUCCUAGCUUCUCUUCAAUCGGCCACAAACCCACGGUCGCCCUAUCAACCACCAUGAACAGCCGCCUCCAGCAUUUCCUUCCCUCAGCAACAACACCAGCACCGACACCCACCGAUCUAUCCAUUCCUCCGCCUCAACACCGCCAGCAAGCUCAUCUCCACCGCGGCUUCAGCGGCCACGGACGACAGCCACCAGAUUAGAGGAAGGAGAAGACCGAGAACCAACCGACCACCGCUGCCACCAACAGGAGUGAAGACCGUCAACACAGCGACCACCACCGACAGCUCCCCCCACAACCACCGGCCAUCUAAAACAGAAGAAGAGGAAACAAAAACAAUAUGCAAAAAAGAGCAGAUCUGAAAAUGAGAAGGGAGAGAAGCAGAUCUAGACUAAAAUGGAUUGAAAUCGAUUGUUUGUUGGGUUUUUGUUCUUUUGCAGGUGACGUUGGGUGUCACCACCGGCAGAGAAGGGAAAAGGAAAGGAAGCUGAGCCAGACCCACCCGCUUUCCGGCCUUUCU
This 7132-nucleotide long non-coding RNA is filed under the name Populus trichocarpa (black cottonwood). Its description in RNAcentral is "long non-coding RNA (PTRI_LNC004363)". The record is from RNAcentral. Lineage: Eukaryota; Viridiplantae; Streptophyta; Magnoliopsida; Malpighiales; Salicaceae.